UGUGUUGUGGCUCAGUUGUAGAGCACUUGCCUAGCACAUGUGAGGUACUGGGUUCAAUCCUCAGCACCACAU
Molecule: transfer RNA, 72 nt
Filed under: Marmota marmota marmota (Alpine marmot)
Lineage: Eukaryota; Metazoa; Chordata; Mammalia; Rodentia; Sciuridae
Also listed under: 1 other name
Rfam family: tRNA
About the family: Transfer RNA (tRNA) molecules are approximately 80 nucleotides in length. Their secondary structure includes four short double-helical elements and three loops (D, anti-codon, and T loops). Further hydrogen bonds mediate the characteristic L-shaped molecular structure. tRNAs have two regions of fundamental functional importance: the anti-codon, which is responsible for specific mRNA codon recognition, and the 3' end, to which the tRNAs corresponding amino acid is attached (by aminoacyl-tRNA synthetases). tRNAs cope with the degeneracy of the genetic code in two manners: having more than one tRNA (with a specific anti-codon) for a particular amino acid; and 'wobble' base-pairing, i.e. permitting non-standard base-pairing at the 3rd anti-codon position.
Source: Rfam by way of RNAcentral